CUGACAGCCUUGGAGACUGAAGCCCUCUAUUUAUCCACAGAACAGGUACAGCCUGGGCAGUGGCAGUGCUAGCCUCCACAACUCUUCCCCCACCAACGUGCCUCAACCCUGACCUGGAGGAACCACCUCUAGAGGUGAGAGGGGAAUUCAGUCUCCAUGUCCAUGCAAUCCUUGGCCUUU
Unclassified non-coding RNA from Crocodylus porosus (Australian saltwater crocodile), 180 nucleotides. The record is from Ensembl. Lineage: Eukaryota; Metazoa; Chordata; Crocodylia; Crocodylidae.